UACGUAGGUCCCGAGCGUUGUCCGGAUUUAUUGGGCGUAAAGCGAGCGCAGGUGGUUUAUUAAGUCUGGUGUAAAAGGCAGUGGCUCAACCAUUGUGUGCAUUGGAAACUGGUAGACUUGAGCGCAGGAGAGGAGAGUGGAAUUCCAUGUGUAGCGGUGAAAUGCGUAGAUAUAUGGAGGAACACCGGUGGCGAAAGCGGCUCUCUGGCCUGUAACUGACACUGAGGCUCGAAAGCGUGGGGAGCAAACAGG
This 252-nucleotide ribosomal RNA is filed under the name uncultured bacterium. Its description in RNAcentral is "partial 16S ribosomal RNA". It matches the Rfam family "Bacterial small subunit ribosomal RNA", at positions 524 to 776 of the family's 1533-position model. The record is from RNAcentral.